AGUGAACGCUGGCGGUAGGCCUAACACAUGCAAGUCGAACGGCAGCACAGUAAGAGCUUGCUCUUACGGGUGGCGAGUGGCGGACGGGUGAGGAAUACAUCGGAAUCUACUUUUUCGUGGGGGAUAACGUAGGGAAACUUACGCUAAUACCUCAUACGACCUACGGGUGAAAGCAGGGGAUCUUCGGACCUUGCGCGAUUGAAUGAGCCGAUGUCGGAUUAGCUAGUUGGCGGGGUAAAGGCCCACCAAGGCGACGAUCCGUAGCUGGUCUGAGAGGAUGAUCCGCCACACUGGAACUGAGACACUGUCCAGACUCCUACGGGAGGCAGCAGUGGGGAAUAUUGGACAAUGGGCGCAAGCCUGAUCCAGCCAUACCGCGUGGGUGAAGAAGGCCUUCGGGUUGUAAAGCCCUUUUGUUGGGAAAGAAAAGCAGCAGGUUAAUACCCCGCUGUUCUGACGGUACCCAAAGAAUAAGCACCGGCUAACUUCGUG
RNAcentral lists this ribosomal RNA (492 nucleotides) under uncultured bacterium. RNAcentral describes it as "partial 16S ribosomal RNA". It matches the Rfam family "Bacterial small subunit ribosomal RNA", at positions 29 to 507 of the family's 1533-position model. The record is from RNAcentral.